GAGGGGGAAGGGAAAAGACCGAGCGGUGGAGGGAAGAGGGAGCCAUUUCUCUCCACUGGCUGCAACCUCCGUGCUCACAGCUCACGUUUGCCCGGAAUCCAGGGGCUUCCUCAGCCAAGGACUCCAUAAUGCUGGAUAUUUUCAUCCUGAUGUUCUUUGCCAUCAUAGGCCUGGUCAUUCUGUCCUACAUUAUCUAUCUGCUCUAGUUCCAGAAGGAACAGCUGCGGCGGGGAGCCCUCAGAACAGCUCAGGAUGAAGCUGGCCGAGCAUCCUGCUUUGCUGACGCACCGGUGGAUUUUUGCUUCUGGUCAUUAUUUCGGCUCCUGGUCUCCAGUCCAACCAGAGGCCUCUUAUCAGCAGCAACCGUCCUGCUGCCCAGCAGACCUCUUCCAGAGCCUUCCGGAUAUGGUUAACCACUGGCGAGCAAGGGGCUUUUUGAGCUCCGAGGCAGAGGCCCUCAGCUGGGACCUCAGGAAUUCGUGGGCAUGCCUGGCAGAUGCCGUGUGCGUUCGAGCCGUAUGUAGAUAGAGGGUGUUGAGGACACGGAGCUGAAAUGCAGACUCAUUAAAGUUACCAUGGAGAACUGCUCAAAUACUCAUCCUGACAGCCUUUCUUUAGGUAUUUUAUUUAUCCAUUCGACAGAGAGAGGCACGGUGAGAGAGGGAACACAAGCAGGGGGAGCGGGAGAGGGAGAAGCAGGCUUCCCGCUGAGCAGGGAGCCCGACGUGGGGCUCGAUCCCAGGACCCUGGGAUCACGACCCGAGCCGAAGGCAGAUGCUCAACAACUGAGCCACCCAGGAAGAAAAUGAAACCAGGAGAAAAGCAAGAACUUUGUUUCUGCAUGAAUAUGCAAAUACUAAACUCCAGAGAAAAAAAUUCCUGCCACGGAUGAAAUUAUGGUUGGACGAUUCAUCAGGGAAAGGUAGUUAAUUUCUGAUAUUUUAAAAACUAAGAGACAGAAAGAGGCAGAGGGAGAAGCAGGCUCCCAAGGAGCAGGGAGCCCGAUGCGGGACUCGAUCCCAGGACCCUGAGAUCACGACCUGAGCCGAAGGCAGAUGCUUAACCAUCUGAGCCACCCAGAGAGAGACACAGCGAGAGAGGGAACACAAGCAGGGGAAGUGGGAGAGGAAGAAGCAGGCUUCCCGCCGAGCAGGGAGCCCGACGCGGGGCUCGAUCCCAGGACCCCAGGAUCAUGACCUGAGACGAAGGCAGACGCUUAACGACUGAGCCACCCAGGCGCCCCGCUUUUUUUCUAUUUUAAUAUCUGUAUAAUAUUAUCUGUGAAUUGUAGUUUUUUUACCUGGUUUGCUGCAGACAACAGUCUGCAUCUUGCGGGAGAGAUUAGUCAGCUCACAUAAGAAGAUAUAUACACGAUGGCACUCGAGUUCAUCCCAACCUGCUGUUAAGGUCUGAGAAUAAUAAAAUAAAGGAAACAUUACGGAUGUUCAGACCAUCAAAUCAAAAUGUGCUCUGCUAUACCCUUUAGAGACCAACUUUUAAAAUUUCUUCCUACUAAAAUAGAGUCAGAUGUAAUGUUCUUUUCACACUGGCCAUCUGCGCUGUCUUGUAUGAAGAAGCAAAUUAAAAUUUUUAAUCUUCAGAGCACAGAAUUCUGGAAAUGUUAUUUUAAUGUCUGAAAACAAGAACGGAUCAGAUAGGAAUGGCAACAUGAGAAAAUGGUUUUCCAAGCUCUGUGUAUGGAGCCAGUGUUAUUUGUUUUAUCAGAAAAAAUAUUAAUAAUAUGCACUGUUGCAUAUUACGGUACCAUAAAUGGAAGGGUUGGAAAGUAGUUUUGGAAGUUUUAAUGAGUAUCAUUAUAAACUGAAAGAUGGUAAUAAAUAAAUGUAUUCAACUACCUAAGCCUGUUGAUAGUUCUGUCUGGGAAGUCACGAGGCAGAAGGAACAGAAAGCACAGCCAUUAGUGGGUAUUACCUCUUUUUCCCCAAAUCUUUUCCUGAUCUCCUUUCAAAAGAAGCCCUACCCCAAGGUUAAUUUUUAGAAGGAAGUAGGAUUCUAAUUUUAUUGCCCUUCAGAUUACAUCAAGCUCCUGGCAAGUAUACAACAAAACCCUGAGAUAAUGUGGAUUCAGAUAUGAAGGGACUAGCUGUUGGCUCCCACCCUCUCAAGCUGACUCAACCCCAACCGGCUAUAUAUUUAGUCCUAUAUUUUAUAUUUUAUGAUUGAAUUAUUCAGACUGCUCUUUUAGCGUUAUGAUGGGAAUUCUGGAAAGUGGUUUUGCUUUAAAAUUAAGGCCGAUGAACCACAGAGUGGGAGCAAAUACUUGCAAAAGACAUAGUUUAUAAAGGACUGUUAUCCAAAAUAUACAAGAACUUCUAAAACUCAACUGUAAGAAAAUGAACAACCUAACUGAACAAUGAGCAAAAGACCUGAAGAGAUACCUCACAGAAAAAGAUACACAAAUAGCAAAUAAGCAGAUGAUAACAUGCUCCACAUCAUCAUGUUGUCAUCAAGGAAUUGCAAAUUUAAACAACCAUCCCAGGACACACUUAUUAGAAUGGCCUGAAUCCCAAACUCUGACAAUACCAGAUGCUGAUUUUAUUUAUUUAUUUGAGAGAGAGAAUGAGACAGAGAGAGAGAGCAUGAGAUGGGAGAGGAUCAGAGGGAGAAGCAGACUCCCUGCUGAGCAGGGAGCCUGAUGCAGGACUCAAUCCCGGGACUCCAGAAUCAUGACCUGAGCCGAAGGCAGUCGCUUAACCAACUGAGCCACCCAGGCGCCCUAGCCCUGACUCCAGGAGGCAUAACUCUUUCCUCCGAUGGUCUUCAGACCCCUUUGACAUCCACACAGUGUACAGAAAACCAGUGAUUCGGUGAGCGAACCUUGUGCUGGAGACGCAGAGAGCGACAGCAUCACCCAGCCUUCUGGGGUCAGCAACUGGAGAUGGAGAGCCGUCACCAGCAGCAACCAGGCUUCCACAGUAAGGGGGGACAGCCCAGAGAGGUUAGGGGGCAGCUCCAGCUCAAGAAGGAAGAAUGCAGAUGGACCCAGAGCCAGGGACCCUUGGCUAGGACUAGCACCACUCUCGUGCUGAGGAGAAGCUGAGAGUAGACCCAGUGUGGCCUCUUUAGUCUGUUGUACAUGGCGUGUAGAGCAAACCUCACAGAGUCCUGGGGAACAUUCCAAAUCUCACGUGCCACCAAUGCUUUCCUGAGUUCUCCAGGUCACCCAUUACUGCUGUCACCUUUCAACUCCCACGACGUGUUAUUUUUACAUCUGCUGUGGCAGUUGGUGUGUUCUGCCUUGGAGAUCUGCUUAUCUGUGUACUUUGUCUUAUCCACCCUACUAGACUUCUCAGGACGGGGACCGCAAGCCCUGUGGCAUGAGAAAAGGAGGUUAAUAAAGUAU
Molecule: long non-coding RNA, 3364 nt
Organism: Mirounga angustirostris (Northern elephant seal)
Lineage: Eukaryota; Metazoa; Chordata; Mammalia; Carnivora; Phocidae
Exons: 10
Source: RefSeq, a predicted model, not a curated record